Long non-coding RNA from Antechinus flavipes (yellow-footed antechinus), 1009 nucleotides. RefSeq lists it as uncharacterized. The transcript has 2 exons. NCBI's taxonomy places the organism in Eukaryota, Metazoa, Chordata, Mammalia, Dasyuromorphia, Dasyuridae. The record is from RefSeq and is a predicted model, not a curated record.
UCUCCAGAACCAUAAGCAGCCGGAGUGAGACUGAAGUCGCGGGGAGAGAGAAGAGGGGGGGGGAGGAUGGAGAAAUAGUAGGGUGAAGACUGAAUUUUCCUUCUGGGUCCCAAGAUCUUAGAUCCAGCCUCUGCCUUUUCUUCUUUCUCCCGAAAUCGCGCCUGCAUGUCUAUCACACUCAGCAGGCCUGGGCCUCUUCUCUUCUUCCUCCGUCCCCCUCCCCCCAGUCACAGCAGGAUGAGGUAAUUGGGUUGUGAUUAUGACAUCAUAAUAAGCUCAGCUCUUCCUCCCCCAUAUUUGAAAGGCGGCGUCUGCAGGACUCCUCUUUCUCUCAAGCUUCUUUUUUUCAUUCUUUGUAAAGAAGAGAUCAGAUCCUGUAAAUAUCUGCUUUGUCUACAAAGCAGAGGUGAUCAGGGAGAGGAAAGAACUAUUCUUUCAUUAAAGCCACAGGAUUUCUGGCUCUGAAAUAACGGGACAUGUUAAACCUAAAACUCAGUCUCCCUUUAGAAAGGCCUAGAUGAAAGAAGCUAAAAUAGAGGGGAAGGUCAGGGGCAGAGACUUGAGACUGACAAGGCAAAUAAGGAAUGAAUCCACAUUGCUGCCCUCAGAGAGCAAAGGGGGAACGGAGAGAUUUUAACCCAAGUUUGAACUAACCAAGAAAGAUUUUUCAUUGGAGGCUGGCAAGUUUGUAAAAAAAAAAAAAAAAAAAAAAAGAAGAAGAAGAAAAAAAGAAGGUGGGACACUAAGUUAAGUAGGGGGUAUUUUCUUCAUCAAGGAUCAAUGAUGGUCGACCCAGAAAACUGAGCAGCCUCCUCAACCAACUUCUUAUAAAGGCUUUUUCUUCUCAGCACCCCACAACAUGAAAGUGGGACUUGAAGCAAGAAGCAUUGAUAACCAGUUGUUCGUUUUCCAUAGUCUAUCUGCUUCUGCCUCCUUCGAAGAACAAUCUCAUUUGUUUCUACCUCCUGCCUGUGAAGAAAUAAAUGUCUUUUUUAAAAAAAAUGUAAAA